CUGACCGAUAGUGAACCAGUACCGUGAGGGAAAGGCGAAAAGAACCCCGGCGAGGGGAGUGAAAAAGAACCUGAAACCGUGUACGUACAAGCAGUGGGAGCACCCUUCGGGGUGUGACUGCGUACCUUUUGUAUAAUGGGUCAGCGACUUAUAUUCUGUAGCAAGGUUAACCGAAUAGGGGAGCCGGAGGGAAACCGAGUCUUAAUUGGGCGUUAAGUUGCAGGGUAUAGACCCGAAACCCGGUGAUCUAGCCAUGGGCAGGUUGAAGGUUGGGUAA
This 277-nucleotide ribosomal RNA is filed under the name Salmonella enterica. RNAcentral's name for it is "partial 23S ribosomal RNA". It matches the Rfam family "Bacterial large subunit ribosomal RNA", at positions 480 to 759 of the family's 2925-position model. The record is from RNAcentral. Lineage: Bacteria; Pseudomonadati; Pseudomonadota; Gammaproteobacteria; Enterobacterales; Enterobacteriaceae.